RNAcentral lists this ribosomal RNA (263 nucleotides) under uncultured archaeon. Its description in RNAcentral is "partial 16S ribosomal RNA". It matches the Rfam family "Archaeal small subunit ribosomal RNA", at positions 717 to 982 of the family's 1478-position model. The record is from RNAcentral.
AGACGUCUACAUUAGAUACCCGUGUAGUCCCAGCCGUAAACUAUGCGCGUUAGGUGUAUCGGUGACCACGAGUUACCGAGGUGCCGAAGGGAAACCGUGAAACGUGCCGCCUGGGAAGUACGGUCGCAAGGCUGAAACUUAAAGGAAUUGCGGGGAGCACCACAACGGGUGGAGCCUGCGGUUUAAUUGGACUCAACGCCGGGAAGCUCACCGGAUAAGACAGCGGAAUGAUUGCCGGGCUGAAGACUCUGCAUGACUAGCUG